Small nuclear RNA from Saimiri boliviensis boliviensis (Bolivian squirrel monkey), 137 nucleotides. Its record names the gene U4. It matches the Rfam family "U4 spliceosomal RNA". Rfam says of the family: U4 small nuclear RNA (U4 snRNA) is a component of the major U2-dependent spliceosome. The structure of U4 snRNA from yeast and human has been reported. U4 snRNA presents a k-turn RNA motif in the 5p-SL related to recognition of Snu13 protein. NCBI's taxonomy places the organism in Eukaryota, Metazoa, Chordata, Mammalia, Primates, Cebidae. The record is from Ensembl.
AGUGUUGGGCAGUGGCAGUAUCGUAGCCAGUGAGGUUUAUCUGAGAUGUGAUUAUUGCUAAUUGAAACUUGCCAAUACCUCAUCAUGGCAGUUUGAAAUAUAUCCGCAUUGGCAAUUUUUGACAGUCUCUAUGAAGA